Molecule: long non-coding RNA, 741 nt
Organism: Nerophis ophidion (straightnose pipefish)
Lineage: Eukaryota; Metazoa; Chordata; Actinopteri; Syngnathiformes; Syngnathidae
Exons: 2
Source: RefSeq, a predicted model, not a curated record
GAUGGGAGGUAUUUGUGUGUUAAUGGACACUUUAAGUUUGAUUAUUCCACACCGUGCCCUUCCUACAAAGACUUGUGCAAUAAUUGCCCUUUUCGGCUUUGUGCAAACACACUCCUGUGUCUUGGACAGAGGAAGACUUCCUUCCUAGAGGAAACACAGGAACCGUGAAGAAGGCGAAGACUAAUGGUGGAGAAUCAGACUGAGGAGGCGGCGCUCACCAAACAUGCCAGUCUGUCCAGCAGAGAACCGUUGGCCAUGAAGGCGUACACCAAACACGGGUACUGCCCAUCACAGGAGUAUCCCACCAUGUCCACCAGGUUCUCAUGUUUCAACCUGAUGAAAUACAAGUAAGAUUAAUGUCAGAAUAAUUGUAUCUUUGUGUUUCAAUGAGUUCCCGGCGAGCAGACAAGAGCUGUCUUUAAUCCUACCAAGAAGAAGGCUUGUAAAACUCCACUGUGUAGGACGGGAAGCAACAUGAAGGUGUUCUGUUUCUUUCAUGUAUUUUUAAUCAACUGAAAGAUUUUGUCUUGACACAAGAAUUACAAAGCAAAGAGGAAGCAGGACCAGACUCCCCUCAAGGCGACCUCUUUGAACUCUUUUACGACCUUUUCUGUGAACUGUUUACGACCUUUUUUUUAACUGUUUUGUAACCAAAGGCGAUGGUUGUUUACGACCCCCUCCCUUAGAAACAGCUGUUGCCAUGUAUUCGGGGAAAGUCCAAAUAAAUGAGGUGGCUUACAA